Molecule: long non-coding RNA, 1141 nt
Organism: Clupea harengus (Atlantic herring)
Lineage: Eukaryota; Metazoa; Chordata; Actinopteri; Clupeiformes; Clupeidae
Source: Ensembl
UAUGGAUUCAGCAACACCUGUGACAUGCAUUUUACACCAACUAAAAAGGGCACAGAAAUCACAACACAGAAAAAAGAAAAAGCUAGUUUUGCCUUCGUCCUUCUGGGAAAGCCGAGGGGUGUGGAAGUCCUGAAGAGGACAACAAGACAGAGAGAAGAAGAAAGGAAAGAAGACCGCAGCGGGAGUAAGUGCACUGGAAAGAGAGGGUGGGUGAUCGUGAGGCAAUCAGUAAUGAGUACAGCUGUUCUCUUCAGAUAACACUCCUCCAAUGCCACCCUAACCAGCAUGGCCAUCUCUGCCACCGUGUCUUGGGACACAGACAGCCCACACUUCCCAUGGACCGUGGGAAACGCAUGAGGCUUUCCAUGUUCCAUGUCUAGUGUGGGGGGGCAUUGGGAACGCAUGAGGCAAGGGAGGUGUCAUUUAAAGCCCCUGGAGUGGAACGAGGCACAGCCUCACCUCACAACUGAGGAAACACUGCUGUCAGGAUUAGAGUCACCUGAGCAUACUAGGGCACAAGAGAGAGAGAGGGGAGAUGCAGCCAUGCAGAGAAGGAUUGAUGAAGCAGGCUCCAUGGAAUCAAUACUCUUUAGUCUUCAUCAAUGAGGGAAAAGAAGAGUAAAGAAUGAUUGAUGAGGCAGGCUCCAUGGAAUCAAUACUCUUUAAUCUUCAUCAAUGAGGAAAAGAAGAGUAAGUGAGACAAAUAGUUUAUAUGCAUCUUCAAAGGCAUCUCUUCAUUAGGAAACCAUAUAGACAAGGACAGGAGUGCAUUCGGCCAUCCCUUAAGUGAGAUUGAGAGGAGGAGGAGGAGGAGGAGGAGGAGGAGGAGGAGGAGUGAGAUACUUGGAGAGAUAACAGAAGAGCAUGUCUGAAGAGAGAGGUAAGGCGCAUGUCUGAAGAGAGAGGUAAGGCGCAUGUCUGAAGAGAGAGCAUGUCUGAAGAGAGAGGUAAGGAGCAUGUCUGAAGAGAGAGGUAAGGCGCAUGUCUGAAGAGAGAGAGGUAAGGCGCAUGUCUGAAGAGAGAGAGGUAAGGCGCAUGUCUGAAGAGAGAGAGGUAAGGCGCAUGUCUGAAGAGAGAGGUAAGGCGCAUGUCUGAAGAGAGAGCAUGUCUGAAGAGAGAGAGGUAAGGAGCAUGUCUGAAG